This 484-nucleotide ribosomal RNA is filed under the name uncultured bacterium. Its description in RNAcentral is "partial 16S ribosomal RNA". It matches the Rfam family "Bacterial small subunit ribosomal RNA", at positions 30 to 507 of the family's 1533-position model. The record is from RNAcentral.
AUUGAACGCUGGCGGCAGGCCUAACACAUGCAAGUCGAGCGGAUGAAGGGAGCUUGCUCCUGGAUUCAGCGGCGGACGGGUGAGUAAUGCCUAGGAAUCUGCCUGGUAGUGGGGGAUAACGUCCGGAAACGGGCGCUAAUACCGCAUACGUCCUGAUGGAGAAAGUGGGGGAUCUUCGGACCUCACGCUAUCAGAUGAGCCUAGGUCGGAUUAGCUAGUUGGUGGGGUAAAGGCCUACCAAGGCGACGAUCCGUAACUGGUCUGAGAGGAUGAUCAGUCACACUGGAACUGAGACACGGUCCAGACUCCUACGGGAGGCAGCAGUGGGGAAUAUUGGACAAUGGGCGAAAGCCUGAUCCAGCCAUGCCGCGUGUGUGAAGAAGGUCUUCGGAUUGUAAAGAACUUUAAGUUGGGAGGAAGGGCAGUAAGUUAAUACCUUGCUGUUUUGACGUUACCAACAGAAUAAGCACCGGCUAACUUCGUG